AUCAAAGGUAAGUGAAUAAGUCGCUCUGGAUAAGAGCGUCUGCUAAAUGACGCAAA
Non-coding RNA from Salmo salar (Atlantic salmon), 56 nucleotides. NCBI's taxonomy places the organism in Eukaryota, Metazoa, Chordata, Actinopteri, Salmoniformes, Salmonidae. The record is from Rfam.